Molecule: ribosomal RNA, 440 nt
Filed under: uncultured bacterium
Lineage: Bacteria
Description: partial 16S ribosomal RNA
Rfam family: Bacterial small subunit ribosomal RNA
Source: RNAcentral
CCUACGGGCGACAGCAGUGGGGAAUAUUGCACAAUGGGGGAAACCCUGAUGCAGCGACGCCGCGUGAGUGAAGACGUACUUCGUUAUGUAAAGCUCUAUCAGCAGGGAAGAAAAUGACGGUACCUGAGUACUAAGCCCCGGCUAACUACGUGCCAGCAGCCGCGGUAAUACGUAGGGGGCAAGCGUUAUCCGGAUUUACUGGGGGUAAAGGGAGCGUAGACGGCAGUGCAAGUCUGGAGUGAAAGGCGGGGGCCCAACCCCCGGACUGCCCUUGAAACUGUACGGCUGGAGUGCAGGAGAGGUAAGCGGAAUUCCUAGUGUAGCGGUGAAAUGCGUAGAUAUUAGGAGGAACACCAGUGGCGAAGGCGGCUUACCGGACUCUAACUGACGCUGAGGCUCGAAAGCGUGGGGAUCAAACAGGAUUAGAUACCCUUGUAGUC